Molecule: long non-coding RNA, 624 nt
Organism: Mya arenaria
Lineage: Eukaryota; Metazoa; Mollusca; Bivalvia; Myida; Myidae
Exons: 3
Source: RefSeq, a predicted model, not a curated record
CUACGCCUGACAAUUAUUGAACAGUUGUUUUUGUAGAUAAGUAUUAGUGACCGAGUUGGAGAUACAGUUGCAGGUUGCGAUAGUGAAGUACAUAAUUCUGUUUGUUUUCUAAAGUGAAGGUUGACUGUUUUGUAAACUUCCAUCACAUUUAGAGAGUAAGUAUUCAUACUUUGAUUUAGGAAUUAACACUAAUUCUUGAGCCAUGAUUCACUGGGUUUAAUUAACGCUAAAAACUGUUUGAAAUAUUUUAACAGAAUGGCUUUCCUCCUUUUUUGAGAGAGUCUUUUGGAUAUUACUUUACGUAUGACAUGUCUAUAUCGUUUCAAGUUCUUUUUAUCCUUUUCUGGAAUGACAAGAUUUCCCCUGAUAGCAUUGUAAAUCACCUCUAUAAGUGCAGCCAAUUGAGAUUUUGUUAAGUUUUUUAUCAACAUUUUUUGUUGUUUUUCAUUGGUGUUGAUCAUAAAUUUUAAAAAAUGUCUCUCCUUCUGUAGUUUAUCUUCCAUUUUUCUCCUUUUCAGGUAGAAAUACAAUGGGGGUUUGAUGUGGAAAGAUGUCUGUACGAAGUUUAUAUAACGGGUUAGAAUGUGGACUUACAUCCACCAGAAGGUAACUAUAUUUCUUGUU